CUACUCAAAACAUUGGCUAAUACCGCAUACGCCCUACGGGGGAAAGGGGGGGAGCGCUAGACCUCUCACUAUUGGAGCGGUCGAUAUCGGAUGGAUCUUGGUGGGGUAAAGGCUCACCGAGGCAACGAUCCGUAGCUGGUUUGUAGGACGACCAGCCGCACUGGGACUGAGACACGGCCCAAACUCCUACCGGAGGCAACUCUGGGGAAUUUUGGACAAUGGGGGAAACCCUGAUCCAGCCAUCCCGCGUGUAUGAUGAACGCCUUCAGGUUGUAAAGUACUUUUGGCAGAGAACACUAGGUAUCCCCUAAAACGGGAUACUGAUGACGGUGUCUGCCCAAUAAGCACCGGCUAACUACAUGCCAGCAGCCGCGGUAAUACGUAGGGUGCAAGCGUUAAUCGGAAUUACUGGGCGUAAAGCGUGUGUAGGCGGUUCGGAAAGAAAGAUGUGAAAUCCCAGGGCUCAACCUUGGAACUGCAUUUUUAACUGACGAGCUAGAGUAUGUCGGAGGGGGGUAGAAUUCCACGUGUAGCAGAGAUAUGCGUAGAUAUGUGAAGGAAUACCGAUGUCGAAGGCA
RNAcentral lists this ribosomal RNA (578 nucleotides) under Alcaligenes faecalis. Its description in RNAcentral is "bacterial SSU rRNA". It matches the Rfam family "Bacterial small subunit ribosomal RNA", at positions 147 to 723 of the family's 1533-position model. Lineage: Bacteria; Pseudomonadati; Pseudomonadota; Betaproteobacteria; Burkholderiales; Alcaligenaceae. The record is from RNAcentral.